UCUCUUGCCUGCUGCCAAGUAAGAUAUAACUUUGCUCCUCCUUCACCUUCUGCCAUGAUUGUGAGGACUCCCCAGCCAUGUGGAACUGGAAGGCUUUCCUAUCUGGAGCUCGUUCCUUUGAUUACCACCAGAAAGAGAGGAGAUGGAGAAACCAGCACAAAAUAGCCCCGGAGUUUAAUGGACAAGUUUUAGAUGCUUCUCAGAUCUUCUACCUGAAGUUUGGAAAUCUCAGCUAUUCCACUUUUACUUAGCCAAGUGAUGAAAACAUCUAUUCAGAAUUCUAAAAGCAAAAAAGGUGGAGAAAGGAAAAACAUGAUGGUCUUUAUCGCUAACAAAAUGUGCGGAGAGAAGUUAAAGCCAAGUGUGAAAGUUCCUUGCUAUAUUCUGGUUGCACCUUUGUGGAAUACUAAUUCAGCUGUGGGAGGCUAUUGGUCCAGAAUCCUGGUUUCCUUCACCCUGCAGCCAGGUGAUAAAGCCCCUCCUUAAUGACCCAGAAGCCUGAGGAAACUGAGGCCAAGUGUGAACACAGCAGGAUCUGAUUUUCUAGGCCAGAAAUUCAUUUUAGGGAAAACUUAGGAAGCCUUUCUGAAAUAACUUUUCUGCUUUUGUAGAAGAAUGAUUCGGGCACGUGAAAAUGAUGCAAACCUUUUAUAAAUUAGGUACUUAACCUCUUGCAGCCUCAGUUUCCUCAGCUGCAAAAUGGGAAAACUGUUACUCAACUGUCAGUGUUGAGUAGGCAUUAAAUGAGAGAACAGGAGCUGGCAUGGAAUGAGGUCAUGCCUGUGAGUUUAUUCAGACUCCACUGUCAUGGAAAAUAUCAAAAAUUAAGAAUAUAAAUAAUCCCUGAGAGGCAAAGUCUUAAUUAACUAGCAUGGCCUCAUUUGAAAAAAAUCCCAGCCCUGUGGUUUCUGAAUAUGGAUAAACAAUGCCAUCAUUUCUUAAGAGCUUUAAUUUCCUACCUGCAACGUGGGAACAGAGGCAUUUUAGUCCAUUUUUGGAGUUUUCCUUGAACUCCCUGUUCAUCAGAGGAAAGAGCUGAUUUGCUGAUUUGGGGAGCUGCUUGCACCGUGGACUUCUAUCUCCAUCUCUAGGGACUCAGGCUUCUAACGGCUACAGACACUUUAAAAGCAGCUAAUGUUGGUUGGAAUUUUAUACCUUCAGGCGAAGCUAACCAUGAGAAUAUUUUCAUUUACAACAGAAUAUUAUGAAUGAAAUAAAUUAACCUGGCAGACAGAGAUUUAAGCUGGUUUCAGCACACUGCCCCACGAAGAUCUGCCAUGCUACUCAAAACAUUAUACUCCAGCUCGCCCGUUCCUAUUAUUAAAAACAGCAUCACCCGAGGGACAUGAGCAACGAUGACCCUGAAAAUUCCUUGGGCACUAUGACUGGCUCUUCACAAGAGAGGACAUGGUUCUGGUGCUCAGUGACUGGGUUGUAAAGCCUGGUUCUGCCACUCAUCAGGUGGGUGCCCCUGAGCACGUUACUCAACCUCUGGGUCAAGAUUUUAAAAAAUCUUUCCAGGUGAUUCUAAAGUAUAGCAAAAUUUAAGAAGUAUUGUCCUCGGGCAAGUUCCUUACUGUGUUUAAACCUCAGUUUCAAUAUCUUUAAAAUGGGAAAAUCACGGCAUGUACUUCAUGUGAUGGUGCUGAAGAUUAAGUAAGAUAAUGAACACUCGGGGAUUAAGUGCUUAACGUAUGUGUUACCUAGCAAGGGUCCAAUCAGUGUAAGCCUCUACCAUCAUCGUCAUCAUCAUCAUCAUUACUGUUGUCAUCAUUAUCAUCAUCAUUGUCAUCACUGUCGCCAGCAUCACCAUCACCAUCAUCAUCUUUGUCACAUCAGCAGCCACAUCUUCAUUGUUGCUAUUGGUAUCUUCACCAUCAUCAACCUCACUAUUUUCAUCUUUGCCAUGAUGAUCAUCACAGCCAUCAUCAGCCCAUCAUCAUCACCAUGAUCAUCACCAUCACCUUCACCACCGUCUUUGCCAUCAUCAUCAUAAUCAACACCAUCACCUGACUCUAUAGGAGGUACCAUUGAUUUUUUUCUUUUAGAAAGCGUUUUGCUCUGUUGCCCAGGCUGGAGUGCAGUGGUGCAAUCUUCGCUCACUGCAGUCUCAAACUCUCGGGCUCAAAUGAUCCUCCCACCUCAGCCUCCUGAGUAGCUGGGACUACAGGCACAUGCCACCAAGCCUGGCUCGCUCUUGCUCUCUCUCCCUCCAUAUAUAUAUAUAUUUUUUCCUUUUGUUUUGGUAGGGACUUCUCACUCUGUUGCCCAGGCUGGCCUCAAAUUCCCAGGCUCAAGUGGUCCUCCUGCCUCAGUCUGCCAAAGUGCUGAGAUGACAGGUGUGAACCACCAGCCCAGUCUGACACUGAUUCCUUUAGGAAGACUCAUGAGUGCUUUGUACCCAACAUGAUGAUCUUGAAUUCCUGGUUCUGCUUUUAAUCCUUCAGAAAAAGUGAAGGGCUAGUAAUCUGUAAAAAUUCUCUGAACAUUUUGAUUAAUUUCUAAUUAGGUCAAAAAUGUUUAAAUCAAACCUUUUCGUAACAUUCAACACGCACUGAGAAUGCGUGUUGAUGCUAAUGAUGGUCCUAUCUGUGGGUGCAGUGCUCCAAGCUCACUCCUUAGAUUCUUUCACUCACACUCGAACACCUGUUGUGGAAGGGGAUCCCAACCUCUUUCUCAGAGGCAACGCCUCCCCAGGGGUGAAGCAGCAAAAAUGCAGCUAGAACUCCAUCCACCAUUCUAAGCAUCACUGUAGGAGUAAGUCACCCACCCUAACACAUUCUCAGCUUCGAAUAAAUUCCUUUCUGCGUUUGGCAUGGAAGGUGAUAAGUAUUUUCUGAGCUAUUUUUCAGUUGCAAACUUCAGUCUGCUGAGAUGAAAUAUGCAGAUUGAGGCCUGAACAGCUGUAGCACUGCAGAGUGGCUGGUAUUUUGGUGGGCUUUAUUUUAAAGUCUUUGACAGUUCAAUCUCACUAAUUCAUUAAUUCAGCUGUUUAGGAAAAGCCAUAUGAUCUUAAAAUAAGUCCCUGAAGGUCAAGCAUAUAGGGUGAAAUUUUAUUUUUCAGUAAACAAUAGCAUUUGACGAAAUAACAGAAAUGUCCCUUAUAGUAUCUCUUCCUUUGCAUCUUUGAAUGAAAUUACCAAGUGUACAUCACUGAAUGUUCAUUUGUAAACAUUUUACAUCUUCUCCAUGCCUUUCUGGCAGAGUAUUAAGGUAACAUUCUGAUAUCACUGUUCCCAAUGAAGUUAGAGAUUCUAAAGAACAAUUUCAAAACACAGCCCUAACUUCGGAUGUCACUGAUCAUUUGGAAAGUCGUUUGUUACAUCUAGUCCAGAAAAAUAUAAGGUUCUUGUCAUAGAAAGGCUGAAGUAUUGACUAUAAAUCUAUACAGAAAAAGAAAAAAAAAACUUGUAAUGUGAAAGUUUUCCAGGUCAAAGCUGGAUCUCUCUCAUCCAUCACUGGGUUCUCCAAGGUGACAUGCAAUUCAGGAGAAAAGCAUCAGCAUCCAGAAAGAUGCUGCCCAAGGAUGUCUUUGUGCUCUUUAAUGGUGGGUCUUUGGCUGAAUCACCAGACUGGCAGCUUUGGAAUAGCUGCUCAUGGAGGUGGGAGGCAGGAUGUGGAGGUCCUUGGAUAAAUGUCAUCUAGACUCACAAAGAAUCCUGUACUCAUCAACGCUGAUGGAGUCCUGAAGUUCAUCUACCUCAAAUACCUUCUUGUCUCACUUUACGGAUGAGGCAACUGAGGCGCAGGGAGAAUAAAUGAUGGGUGCCCAUUAAGGCACUCAAUUAAUAAUAAAGCCAGAGCUAAGAUGCAGGUGGCAUUGGAGCCUGGUGACAACCAUGCUUUGCAUCAGAGUUGGCCUGUGUGUUCCUCCGGUCCGACCGCAAGUACAGGCAUGGCCAUUUUGCUUGUGGACAAAAAAGACUCUUUCAUCUCACUCCCAGCUCUUAUGGUGUGACCCGGGCCAAAUCAUUCAAAUCCUCUCCAUCCCAGCCUCCUUAUAGAUAAAGCCCUCUUAAUAAUCCCUACCUCAUAGGGAUGUUGUAUCAAUGAACUUCUA
Symphalangus syndactylus (siamang) is the source of this 4060-nucleotide long non-coding RNA. RefSeq lists it as uncharacterized. NCBI's taxonomy places the organism in Eukaryota, Metazoa, Chordata, Mammalia, Primates, Hylobatidae. The record is from RefSeq and is a predicted model, not a curated record.